GGAUCCAGCUGUCCAGGUAGAGAGAGCCACAGCUCACUGAGGAAGCCUGGCUUUUAUGCCCUUCCUCCCAGGUGCAGACAAUCACUAAUCAAGGGCAGGCAGAGCAACCAGGAAGCCAGGCAAACAAAUGGGCGGGCCCAGCACCUACCACAGAACAGAGGCACAAACAGCCUGGGAAGAACAGACGGCCGGGGCCGUCACAGUGGUCACAGAAAUGGAAUACACUGCAAGAAUGUAAUUAUGCUGCGAUUUGAUACAAAGAUAAGUGUUUUUGUUUUCUGCAUUGAAAGGGGAAAUACAUUGAGAAGUAUUAAUGUUAAUAUAUUUUAUUUCAAUAUGUUGCACAAUAUUUCAUUUUCCAUAUGGGUCCAUCAAACCUGCUAAUCCUGUACUGAAACAGCACAAUGAGAUUUGUCAGCAUUUUACAAGAUGGUGACAGGCUGAGAGUAGACAGGGAUUGAGAUACAGUAGUUUAAAAAUAAGUGAACAUGUGAAUCUGUUUCUCUUCAAGACAUAUAGAAAAAUCCGCUAUGAGCUUAAUUAAAAAAUAACUGCCUGAUGAAGUUUCAGGUGCUGGUCAUGUCAUGUUGGUCAUACAGCAGUGCAAAGCCAGUAGCUCAUGUAUUUAUCUUAAUUUCAUAGGGUAUUUAUUUAUUUGUUAUAUUAAACAGGAAAAAAGUUUCCAAGUUUAGUGAUGAGGUUAUAUAAGAUACUGUACACACAAGUUUAAAAACUGCAUCUGCUUAAAACUGCUUUGCUUUGUCCAAAAGAUACAGUGAGUUGGAAAAGAAUAUAUAUGAGAACGGAUAAUGGUAGAAAACAGUGAAGCAUUUAGGGAAACACCCUUCAGGCCAGUUUCUUGUUUAGUGAACACUGAAUGUUGAUAUUGUACAUUCUAAUUACAAAACCCCAUCUUUUCAGAUAUCCCCAAACCUCCAUGUUUAUUUUGCAAUCACAGUGAUUCCUAUUCACUUCUGCAAUGCGCCAGAUUUAAAGAAAUGCUUUGAACAUUCGUUUUUUCUUCACGCAGCUAUAUAUUAUUUUGUGGUCAAGUCUUUUCUUUUUUUUCUUACUUCUGCUUUCCUCAUUGGGAUAGCAAGUAUGGUAUGCCAUCCACCAAAUUAUGGGUUGGCGAUUCAUACCACAAUAUUUAAAUAUACAAAAAUACCUUCAGUGCACGCAGGGGGAACUGAAACCUCUCAGCUCUUUGUUUUUUUUUUGGAGAUUAUGCAACAUUCAUUCACUUGGUGUUUAAAGUGAUAUGUUAUUGAUGACUGCUGUUGUUGACAGCAUGGUUUCUCUUACUGACAGGAAGCAGGGGGGUUAAAUAAACUUUGUUGGCAUCUCAUGCUUUGCAUACUCUCAGGUGAGACACACUUCCGUACAGCCUUCAGGUGAUUCCAGUCAACUCAAGAAGAAUCUUCCUUUUUUCUUUUUCGCAAAUGAAUGCACAAAAGUGUGAAUUAUAUAUAUAUAUAUAUAUAGUGGUACACAAAGGGGAGAAGUUUAAAAAACUCACAGAGAAACGGUGGCAGACAUGGAUCAAAAACCUUCGUCUUAAGUCUGGACGAGCGGACUCCGACAAUGCUCGUGUAUGCAGUGAAAGGUAAGGCUAAAGUAAUUUUGCUACCUACAGACCUAGCUAAAACUGACAAAAAAUACAAACCAGGGUGCGAUAUUAUCACCCUGUGGUGUUUGUUCUGCAGCUAGUGUUUCACAGUUUUAGUUAGCUAGCUAGUUAGCUACCGGGAGAUAGCUAGCUGGCUAAAACUGCGAAACACUAGCUGCAGAACAAACACCACAGGGUGAUAAUAUCACAGAUGUAGCUAGCUAUGUUUCCUGCAAUAUCACCACCCUGGUCUGUAUUUUUUGUCAGUGUUUUUGUCUUUAGCUAGCAAGCUACCGGGAGAUUUGUUUUUAGCGAUGCUAGAGCUAUCACCAAACACUACUAAACAACGCGAAGCUACUGUUAACCCUCAUUGCUGUCACCGUGGGGUGUUUGUUCUGUAGUUUGAUAGUAUCAAUUAACAAGGUAUCACUUUGCUAUUUAUUUUAUUUAUGCUGCCCGAGUGCUGUCAAAGAUGUAGACUCUACAGACUGGGCUCCUAUGGUUCAUCCUGGUUAUCAGCCAGGUAAACCAAUGACCGAGGCAUUGCGUCUACGAGAGGAAAGGUUGAAGUCCAGAGAAGCAGAUCAGACCUGCACCGACAUUGCUGGACCUCAGUAAGUUAGCUGAGAGCCCAGAAUCAGAAUACUUCAAAGAUGCAGGAUGCCAUCUUGAGAAGAUGGAAGAUGUUCUGAAUCAAUCAUCAGUGGAGUUGAGUGAGCUCAGGACUAAAGCAUUGGACACACAAUUUAGCCAAGUGGCUUUUCAGAACAAUGAAGACAAGACUAAGUUUUACACAGUAUUUCCCAAUUUCUUAGUUUUGAUGCGAGUGUUUCAACUAUGUGAGCCACACAUCACCUCUAGCUCUUUGUCUGCGCUCUCCAAAUUAGAAUCGUUCAUUUUGGUUUUACUUCGGUUGAGACUAAAUCUUUCACUCCAAGAUUUGGCUUUCAGGUUCAAUGUUUCCUGUUCCACCGUUUCUUGAAUUUGGCACAAGUUAAUUGGCAUACUUCAUGAAAGACUGGAGUUUAUAACUGGAGUGGCCAGAGCGAGAGGUAUUUGCACUUGUUUUUGAAGUUUCAUCGUCUGUAGUCAUCGAUCUUUUCUUUGUUUGUUCGGCCAUAGUAACUGUUUACUCGCAGUGGCAACACUAGCAGAGACCGGGAAAAAACUGUACACUACUCACACACAAGUGAGUUGAAGAGUGUUAACUUGAAGUUGUGUUAACUCCGCCUACCCUCUCUGGCGGACCAACUACUGAUGGGUGAUGGAAAACGAGUCACUAACUGUGCGCCGCUUGUGAUUUUUUCCUGGGAAUGUCGCCACAGACACCCAUUUCUUUAAUCAUAAAUUAUUAUAAUAAUAUAAAUUAAUAUAAUAAUAGGCUCAAUCACCAUUGUGUUACCUAAUUCGGUUAUUACUUUAAACAAACGAGACUGAAAACAUCUCAUUUUAAAAUGAUUUGUAAUAUUUAAUUAAAUAGAAAUGCAAUUUUCUUGUGGAAAAAUUUAGCACACCCCUGUCUUUAUGACUACCUCAUAAUGCCUUAAGUUGGUAUUGGAUGCAUCAAAUCAAGUCUAAAUAAAUACAAUAUAUUAAGAUAUUUUGCCAUAUUUAAAAUAUCAUUUGGUUUUCACUUUGUAAGUUGCUGUCCCAACACUUCAGGAAGAACACAGUGUGUGAAGAAAUCCUGAACUCUGGGAACGACGUAUCAGGCAAAAUUCUCUCUACAAAGAUGUCAUUUUUGUUCCACACUACAAAGUCGCAAUGGUCAGCUUCCACAAUGUGGAGCUGAGUCUUUUCUUAGUAGUAGUAGGCAUGGCUCCUGUCCAGUUUCACAUCGUCCCCAUCAUUGAUGAGACAGAAGCCCUGGUCUUCAGCACAUAGGCAUAGAUUGACCUCAUCUUCGCAUCAAAUUUAAAACAUUGGUCCUAGCAUACCAGGCAGUCAAGGGAUCAGCCCCAGCAUACCUCCACAAGAUAUUCAAACCCUACAUGCCAGCCAGAUCCCUCCGUUCUGCUACCUCAGGACGCCUAGCACCUCCCCCUCUUCACACCUGCACUUCCAGAACACGUCUCCUGUCUGUUCUGGCCCCACGAUGGUGGAAUGACCUCCCCGUGGAGGUCAGAACAGCUGAGACACUGACCCAUUUCAAACGACGAUUGAAGACUCACCUCUUCAGGCUGCACCUCUCCCCAUCCCUCCCUACCCCCCCUGUAAAUGACUGUAAGCUUAGGGUUGUAACUAGGCAGCUGUUUCGUAGGUGACUUAGGUGCAUUAACUGUCUUAACUACUGCUUGUAUUUUUUCCAUAGACUGCGUUGUUGCCGUUCUCGUUGUGUUAGUGUUAAUCAGUUUAACCUUCAGGGUCCAAGUUGAACUAUGCGGUUGUUCCCUGCACUUGGACUGGUACUUCUCUCUAGGGGUUUCGUCAUACUUGUUCCUGGUUAUGGUUAUACACUUUGUUGUAUGUCGCUCUGGAUAAGAGCGUCUGCCAAACGCCUGUAAUAUAAUGUAAUGCAAUGUAAUGUAAUCUUGUUUGCGGUGUGGGCACUAAAAGUUCACAAUGAAAAGAAAGUCACCUCUUCUGCAUGCCAUCUCCUGUUCAAAUUUUCAGCUCCAAGAUCUGUUCAUCCAUAUUUUAUUUACAUGCUGUUUCUAUGUCUUUACAACAUGAAUGGGAACAUGUUUGCAUUGAACCUAUAUAAUUACUAAGUUACUUUUCUCACAAUCCCAGUUCCAUUAGUCCAUGUGACUAAUGGAACUGGGAUUUGUGAGAAAAGUAACUCACAAUGCCUAUAUACCUGCUCUAAUGUGUCAUUUAUGAGUUGUCACAACAUGAAUGGUAAAUGGGUAGCACAUGUCCAUACUGAACAAAUAACUGUUACCUUUAUCUCACAAAUCCCAGUUCCAUGACAGGCGCACAUGACAACUCCAUCUGGUGAGGCUCCCAUGUAUGGCUACUUCGGAUUCAGCCAAAGUCCACUGUCCAUACAGGAGAAACCCUCGUUGUCCACACUUUACAGUUGUUCAUACUGUUUUCUGGCAGUUGCCUCAUAUUAGCAUCCAUACCUGUAAUGCAUAAAAGUAGCAAUAGAAAAAGAGAACAUUGUACUGCACAAUUAGUAACUGAUUUACAAAAUGUGAUGUGGGUCAGCAUUUAUAGGGAUAAUUCUAGUGCACUCGUUUACAUCAUCCUGACCUCAAAGCUUAAACAUACUCCUAGCCAGCCCUAACCUGUGUGUCAUAAUAGGUCAAUUGCAGAUGUUCACACUUGUGUUGUCCUUACCUAGCCCUUACUUUUCCCUAAUAAAUACCUUGUCGCAGCUGUAGAGAGCUUGUGUGGCUCUGGGUAGCAUAUGGACUUGAUCAAGGACUUUGACGGCUGUGAAAGACUAGUCUGUAGAACCUGCUUCAGUUUAGAGGCUGUUAUCCUUCCCUGCUCAUAUUGUGGAUGAGCUCUGGUUUCUGGUCUCCUCUUCUACUGCCUGGACUUGUGACUGUGUUAGUUCUUCCUGUCUGAAAUCCUUGCAUGCUUUCUGUAACUCUGUUGGAGGUAGCUGCAGUGUCUCUGGUGUCCUAUACACAGUUAGUGGUUUAGGUAGCUUGCACACAGACUUUGGGACAAAUUCUCUUGAAUAUGGCGCCCUGGACAUCAGUGCAGCACUUCUUGGGGAAUUUCUGUGUAAAGCCUCGAAAAACUGAGUAUAUGUCUUUGAUCCUCCCUUCACUCUUGGACAUUGGACUGUGGGACUCUCAAGUGCGUGUUGCUCACCUGUCCUCCCUGCAAUAGCAUCAUCUAGUUUUUGCUUUUUAGAUUUUGCAGAUGAAAAGUCUAUCAUUGCACCUGGAGUGGCAGGAAUCUGAAAGUGUGAGAGGCACAGAGAACAGCAGCACUUUAAAUGUAGGCCUACAUACAGCUCAUACUGAAACAGAAGUAAAUGGCAUGCAUUUGAAUACCUUUUUGACAUGCAAUGGCAUUAACCACUUGCACUUUUCCAUAGUGCAGAGUGCAGUCUCUCUCAUUUUAACACCACCUUCAAUGGCAAACACUGCUCCAACAUGUGAGCAAGAUUCUGACAAUUAGUAUAUGUUGGUGGAAAGGAGGGAUUUUUGUUUUUCAACUAGUUAAUCUGACAAUGUUGACAAGCACAAUAAUGCAACUAUUACAAGUAAACAACACAAACAUCUGACAGACUGCUUUGUUUAAGAGCUUCAGAACCUAAUUUUCCGUUUUAAUUUUGUGACAAUAUUGACAUUAAAUUAAAGCAGAGACUUGACCUUGUGAAUUACAACUCAAAACUGAAAUUUGAGUUUGAUACACAAAUAGAGUAGUUUGUUAAAUAAGACUAAUACAUUUCUCAAUAGCCAAAUAACAUUAUUCCUUUCAGUUAAACUCUUAACCUUAGACAGACUCUGGGCUCAUGCAGUGGUUAAGCUUUCAUAAUGCCUUUUGUAUUACUGUACUCUAUAUUCUCUUCUAUAAAAUAAAUACAAAUGUGAUCUUAGUUAUGAGGAAGUACUGGAUGUGUCAUUUCUGCAAAGUAUGACAAACCUUUAUUAUUAAAAUGAAUCUUGCCAUUUAAAACUUAAUCCCCUACCUUUUUCCUUUGUUGUCUGAAAAAAAUGGAACCACAUCCUAAAUUAGCCAAUGCUUUUAACAUCUUAAAUUAUGUUACACUGAUAUCCUGAUGUCCACUGUCCUGAAAGUCAUAUGAUGCUGUGUUGUUUUUUUUUCUUGUGUAAAGAGACAACAUUACAAUAAAGAACUGAAAAUA
Anguilla rostrata (American eel) is the source of this 6383-nucleotide long non-coding RNA. RefSeq lists it as uncharacterized. The record is from RefSeq and is a predicted model, not a curated record. Lineage: Eukaryota; Metazoa; Chordata; Actinopteri; Anguilliformes; Anguillidae. The transcript has 2 exons.